UACGAAGGGGGCUAGCGUUGUUCGGAAUUACUGGGCGUAAAGCGCGCGCAGGCGGUUCUUCAAGUCAGAGGUGAAAGCCCAGAGCUCAACUCUGGAAUGGCCUUUGAGACUAGAGAACUAGGGUACGGGAGAGGUGAGUGGAAUUCCGAGUGUAGGGGUGAAAUUCGUAGAUAUUCGGAAGAACACCAGUGGCGAAGGCGGCUCACUGGCCCGUUACCGACGCUCAGGCGCGACAGCGUGGGGAGCAAACAGG
This 253-nucleotide ribosomal RNA is filed under the name uncultured bacterium. Its description in RNAcentral is "partial 16S ribosomal RNA". It matches the Rfam family "Bacterial small subunit ribosomal RNA", at positions 524 to 776 of the family's 1533-position model. The record is from RNAcentral.